Molecule: ribosomal RNA, 479 nt
Filed under: uncultured bacterium
Lineage: Bacteria
Description: bacterial SSU rRNA
Rfam family: Bacterial small subunit ribosomal RNA
Source: RNAcentral
AAUCAACGCUGGCGGCGUGCCUCAGACAUGCAAGUCGAACGAUUAAAGCUCUCUUCGGAGAGUGUAUAGAGUGGCGCACGGGUGAGUAACACGUAAGUAAUCUACCCUCGAGUGGGGAAUAACAACCGGAAACGGUUGCUAAAUACCGCAUAAUGCAGCGGCACCGCAAGGUGACAGUUGUUAAAGAUUUAUCGCUUGAGGAGGAGCUUGCGGCAGAUUAGCUAGUUGGUAGGUAACGGCUUACCAAGGCUACGAUCUGUAACCGGUCUAAGAGGACGGUCGGUCACACUGACACUGAAUAACGGGUCAGACUCCUACGGGAGGCAGCAGUCGGGAAUUUGGGCAAUGGGCGAAAGCCUGACCCAGCAACGCCGCGUGAAGGAUGAAGUAUUCGGUAUGUAAACUUCGAAAGAAUAGGAAGAAUUAAUGACGGUACUAUUAUAAGGUCCGGCUAACUACGUGCCAGCAGCCGCGGUAAU